UAAGGAAUAUUGGUCAAUGGACGCAAGUCUGAACCAGCCAUGCCGCGUGGAGGAUGAAGGUCCUCUGGAUUGUAAACUUCUUUUAUCUGGGACGAAACACUUCUUUUCUAAGAGGCCUGACGGUACCAGAUGAAUAAGCACCGGCUAACUCCGUGCCAGCAGCCGCGGUAAUACGGAGGGUGCAAGCGUUAUCCGGAUUCACUGGGUUUAAAGGGUGCGUAGGUGGGUAUGUAAGUCAGUGGUGAAAUCCCCGAGCUUAACUUGGGAACUGCCAUUGAUACUAUAUAUCUUGAAUGUCGUAGAGGUAAGCGAAAUAUGUCAUGUAGCGGUGAAAUGCUUAGAGAUGACAUAGAACACCAAUUGCGAAGGCAGCUUGCUAUGCGAUUAUUGACACUGAGGCACGAAAGCGUGGGUAGCAAACA
RNAcentral lists this ribosomal RNA (422 nucleotides) under uncultured bacterium. Its description in RNAcentral is "bacterial SSU rRNA". It matches the Rfam family "Bacterial small subunit ribosomal RNA", at positions 355 to 774 of the family's 1533-position model. The record is from RNAcentral.